Long non-coding RNA from Coffea eugenioides, 598 nucleotides. RefSeq lists it as uncharacterized. The transcript has 3 exons. Lineage: Eukaryota; Viridiplantae; Streptophyta; Magnoliopsida; Gentianales; Rubiaceae. The record is from RefSeq and is a predicted model, not a curated record.
UUGCUGUGGAAAAGUCAUUUGAUCAAUUAUCAAGUGAAAGUCUAAACAAUGUUUUCUUAACAUUGCAAUCAUGUAUGGUAGAGGUGAUGAAAAAUCUUGGGGGAAAUAACUAUAAAGUGCCACACAUUGGGAAGCACCAUUUAAUGAAAGAAAGUUGUCUUCCACUGCAAAUAGAAUGUGAAAAAGAACUUGUGAAUCAAGUUCUAAGUCAUAUGCAAGCGUGAUUAUCUUCAUUGGACAGGUACUUAAACUUUACUAAUCAUGUGUUUUGAACAAAAUGAUGGUUGAAGUCAAGCAAUCCAACCCUUUUGAUUUUGUGGUGCAAGCUUUUGAUUGGGCAAAGAAUAUAGAAGCACUUUUAUGUACUAGUGGUUUUUCAUUGACUGCUUUUAUUUCACUUUACAAGAUUUUAGAAUAGCUCAGUAAAGUUAGCUUGACGUUAGUAGUAGUAGUGCUGAUUUUUGUACAAAAGGGAAAAUGUGCAAUGCUGAGUGAAGCUAUGUACAUGUAUAAACAUUGAAACACUACUUUUGUUGGAGUUUUUGAAACUGUCAAUAGCAUUAUUCUAUAAAGUGAAAAUAGUGCAUAUUGGUUUGCA